CAUUUAUUGAGUGAACAGAGGUGAGUUCAACAUUCAGUAUUAAUCGUGCACAAUCUAGAGCAAAAGAUUGGUCUGGACCCCUUGCUCCAUACACAGUGGCCAAAGCCAUCUUCCAAGGGGAGCAUAUUAAAAUUCCCCCCAAACCCAGGCUUGCUGUGUCCUGAGAGGUCUUGAAAUCCAGUGACCUCUCUGAAGCCUAGCAGUUGGCCAAGCAGGAGCUGGGGCUUGGGUUCAAGCUAAGAGCUAACCCAGCUCUAAGCAGACUCUGCCAUGGUUCAAGGUUUUCUAGCCUUUGUAAAACAUCUCACAUGCGCGUCAGACCACAUGUGGGGGAAAGCUCUGCCUCCGCAGGUGACUUAACUGCUGUUCAGAUGUGAGCAAUUAGGUCCUCGGAGAAAGCUGUAAAUGCAAGACCUCAGGCUUCUGCUGAGAAGGGAACUGAGGAGUGCUGAGUAGCUUCUACACGCCAGCAUAGAGCUGGGUGACCCACACACUGUCACUAAUGAUUAGAAAAGACGAAUAUUGGAAUCGACAAAACAAAAUGAAGGUAAAGUGCGUGGAGGAACCAAAGGAGAUAUUUUUCUGAUGAGGCUUUGAGAGAAAGAUAAACUGAAGUAAAGACAGGCCGACAGGGGCCUGUGGCACUACACUCUUGUCUGUCUUGGAGAAGGUGCUGGAUGAGCACAUUAAGAGGUUCUGCCACAUCCUGGCAUGGCAUUUACCUGAGCAGCAGGAAGUCAUCUGUCCCGUGUACUGAGGAAAAGGAUGGAGAAAUAGCCCACAGGCACGUUUCUCCUUAACAGCCCUGACCUCCGUGGGUUUAUAAAAAUGCCCAAAGCUUCUCCUAAGCCAGGUAUCCAGACUGUUCUGCUGAGGAGUCAUUACUCACAAGUGAGGCAGGACUCUGGCUGGGGAAUUAACUCAUAUUUUACCUCAAUGAGCCUCUCACUUUGUAGGAGAGGAAACCAAGGUUUCUAAAUGUAAACUGUCCAUGUCACAGACAGCUGUGGAAAUUAGAUCUGGCUGGCCCCAAAGCCCUGAAAUAGUGCCUCCCAGGUCCGAAUAGAAACAGAGCAUUCAAGCCAGGGAUGCAACAGCAUCCAAAUACUGUGACUGAGUCAAAGAUUCUCAUUUGUGCUAUGAAUUAAUUUCAAAUCCUAUCUUAAAAGAGGAAAAGAUAUUGCAAAAGUCCCUUAAAUUCAACAUGUCCAAGAACAACUCAUGACUUCCCACUCCCAACAAAGUCUGUUUCUACCCGUGUUUCCUCUCUCAGUGAGUGGUACCGACACCCGUCUAGUUCUGCCAGCCAAGGAUGUGGAAGUCAUUCUGGACCUUUCCACGACCCCCACAGACACACACACGUACACACCAUACCCAGUCCAUCACCAAAUCCUGCCGAUUCUACCUUCUAAAUAUCUAUCAGAACUAUCCACUUCUCUCCAUACUGGCUGCUCCCUCUACAGUCCAGGAUAUCACCUCCCCUGGACAUCUGCAGCCUCUCAGCAUCUCACCCCUACACCAACCAUAGCCUCACCCAGCUCCUUCCAUUUCGUGUAUUGCAGCCAGAAGGUUCUUUUUGGAAUGUAACCUGACCACAUCCACACUUGGCUGCCCUUUCCCCAGUUCUUAAAACAUCCCAAUGGCUUCCCAUUGUUGAUAAGACAGAGAACAAAGUCUUCAGGAUGGCCCUGCAUGGAGUGACUGCCUGCUUAUCUCUGCAGACUCAAGUCGAAUUAUUCUCCUUCCCUGUGUGUUCCAACCACUUGCAGUCUUAUUUGCAAAUGGUCAAACAUCCCAGGCUUCUUCCCUUCAUAGACCUUUGUAGGCACAAGGAAUCCACACAGAACAUUCCUCCCCACCCUCACCCGACUGGUGACUGCUCUCCAUCCUCAGAGUUCAGCUCAAAUGCUGCAUCCCAACAGAGGCUUUCCUUAAGCCCCCAAGCUGAGACGUGCCUUCUCCUUAGACCCUCACAUAGCGUCUGGCAGCUUCCGAUCGUCACCCUCAUCAAGGCUUAAAUUACACUUGUAUGUACGUGAUUGUCUGCUCCUCACCUUUGCCCAGGCGUAAGCCCCGUGGCGGCAGAGAUGCAUCUGUGUUCCUCCUCUGAAGCACUAAUACCAAACGCGAUCCCUGACACCCAGGAGGUGCUCACUAAGUUCUUGUAGAGGACAGAAGGAAAGAAGAAAGGAAUGUGCUGGAGACUGCUAACCUGCAUCCUAAGUCUGGGAUUGCCUUGGGACGUGGGCGGGGUCAGGAGCCCAGCCACUAAGAGCGAGAGAAGAGCUGGUUAUGAGGAGGCUGCCGCCAGGGCUGCUCUACCCUCCCUGCAAAUCGCCUUGGUGGCCACCUUAGAGAGGGCCUGAGCUGGAAUCUCCCUGAUGGGACCUCCUUCAGCAUCUGUCCUACUUUUAUAUGGGGCAAAAUCAGAGAGUAGUUAGGAUCUGAAAAAACAUUAAUAACUUGCAUUGAACUAAAAUUCUGACCACAUUUAUGUGAGCAUUACCUGUCCAGUACAGUGACUACAGAGUACUUGGUUUAGGUAAUCCUUGCAUGUCUCACAAAGUGACUGCAGGGUACUUGUUUUAGGUAAAGCUUGACCUGUCCCACAAGGUGACUGCAGGGUACUUGGUUUAGGUAAGCCUCACCCAUCCCACAAGGUGACUGCGGGGUACUUGGUUUAGGUAAGCCUCACCCAUCCCACAAGGUGACUGCGGGGUACUUGUUUUAGGUAAGCCACACAUGUCCCACAAGGUGACUGCGGGGUACUUGUUUUAGGUAAGCCUCGCGUGUCCCACAAGGUGACUGCAGGGUACUUGUUUUAGGUAAGCCUCACCCGUCCCACAAGGUGACUGCGGGGUACUUGUUUUAGGUAAGCCACACAUGUCCCACAAGGUGACUGCGGGGUACUUGUUUUAGGUAAGCCUCGCGUGUCCCACAAGGUGACUGCAGGGUACUUGUUUUAGGUAAGCCUCGCGUGUCCCACAAGGUGACUGCAGAGUACUUGGUCAGUCAGUGUUGUGCUGUGUUUUCCCUCGCAGCUGUUCAGUACUAAUGUUUCUGUGUGGCCCCACCAGACUCCUUUUCCAGGUGUCACCACUGCCCAGACUCUCUCCCUGCAGCGUCACCUUCCCUUCCCCCUGUUCCCUGUGGGGACUGCAGUGAGGGAACCUCAUCUAGUUCCACUUCCAGUUCCUGGGGUUGCUUCCUGCCUCAGACCUCCUCCUCUGUGAGGUUGGCACCUGGUGGUUCUUAGAGAGACACUGACUCCCAUACGAAGCAUAACACGCCUCUGGGCUGCCAUGUCUGCACCAUGUCAAUCCUGCUUCUGUGCUCAAAGGGCUCCAAAAGCACGUUAAUUACAGUCCACAAGCUGAUAUCCUGGGUUUAGCGCAGACAGAGAAGGAUGUCCGUGCACACGGCCUCGCCUGCGCCUGAGCGCUCUCUCCUGCUCAGGUGAGAGGACCACUUGAAAAGGCACUACCCGUCGCUUCCCUGCCAGGGUGGCUCAGCAGCACCACAUUGCAGACACUCAGAAAGCUCCUGCCACUGGCACCAAGACAACGUUUCUGGGAAACAGAGAGCAAGAGGCUGCAAUAAUGCUGGUAGCACCCAGGGCCCAUCACUUAUCUACUGAUUGCGAAACAAACCAGGGCUUCAAAGAGAAGAGCGUGUGCUGAAAAGUCUAUUUGAUCCGCCCUUUAAAGUGAAAAUGAAGCCUCUUCAUGAGGAGCAGACCGACCCCAUAAGCUUAUAGCUCCAGUUUCUUCCACCCACCAAUACAGCGUGCAGGUAGCUCACCAGGAACUAAGACACCAUCUUCAAACCGAGCUCCCAUUCUGGAAGCAUCGGCUUCAGCAGACAAAAGGGAAUGCAGACCCACCAGCUAAAAAGAGUAAUGUUUUUCCUGGCCUAGAGGCUUGAGUACUUUCAUCAGAAAGAACUGGGUGGGAGAACUCUCGGGUACGACUUGGGUGGGCCCCUGCCCAGUUCUGGAGGGGAAGCUGCCAGGAGAACAUAGACUAAGUAAACAUGUCCCCACUCCACCACAGUUUGUGGUCUGGCGCUUGCUCCAUGUGGCCCCGAGAGGUGGGAGCUACAAACACAAUGGGACAGAAGCUACAAAAGGACAGAUUUGGGUUCAACAUGAGCAGGAAAUAAGAGAGCAGCCUCAAGACAGUGUUGGCACCCUCUGCAGCCACGAGCUCUCAGUCAGUGCAUGUCCCAUCACCCAUAUGUGAGUGAGGAACCUCAGGCUGGAUGGGGUGAGACACCUGGCAUCCUCCUCCAAAGGAAUUACAUCUGUAGGCAGCGUCUCAAUGGGAAUCACAAUCAGAAAGCCCAGAACAUCGUCCAAAGGAGAAGAAAAGGAAAACAAAUACAUCCAAAAGAAACAGACAUGCAGGAGAGAAUCCUUAUCCAAAGACAAAGGAAGAGAAGCAAAAGCCAAGAUUUAAAGUGAAGGAUGAGAAGCAAAGCCUUGCAGGAGCUCCUGAGGUGAGCAGCAGACUGAGACAGCCUUCUGGUCUCGGGUUUGAAGCACCAACGUUGGGCCGUGACUUGAUCGAUCUAAAGUGGACAGCUUCUUGUUUGGGUGUCAUAGAAGGCAGCCAAGCUUUGGGUGAGUGGUGGGACUUCAUCAGUGUUCCGAUGGAACUGCUACAUCUCCAAAUUACAUGUCGUCCUUCGUGAGUGCAGGCCCAUGUUUUUCUGGAGAGUUGACAGCUUUUGUCAGAUUC
Molecule: long non-coding RNA, 4739 nt
Organism: Equus caballus (horse)
Lineage: Eukaryota; Metazoa; Chordata; Mammalia; Perissodactyla; Equidae
Source: Ensembl